Molecule: ribosomal RNA, 495 nt
Filed under: uncultured bacterium
Lineage: Bacteria
Description: bacterial SSU rRNA
Rfam family: Bacterial small subunit ribosomal RNA
Source: RNAcentral
AUGAACGCUAGCGACAGGCCUAACACAUGCAAGUCGAGGGGCAGCACAAGGAGCAAUCUGAGGUGGCGACCGGCGCACGGGUGAGUAACACGUAUGCAACCUGCCUGUAAGAGGGGAAUAACCCGUUGAAAGACGGACUAAUACCGCAUAAUACUAAAUUACUGCAUGGUAAUUUAUUUAAACAUUUAUGGCUUACAGAUGGGCAUGCGCAUGAUUAGCUAGUUGGAGAGGUAACGGCUCCCCAAGGCAACGAUCAUUAGGGGUUCUGAGAGGAAGGUCCCCCACACUGGUACUGAGACACGGACCAGACUCCUACGGGAGGCAGCAGUGAGGAAUAUUGGUCAAUGGACGAGAGUCUGAACCAGCCAAGUCGCGUGCAGGAAGAAUGUCCCUAUGGAUUGUAAACUGCUUUUGCAGGGGAAUAAAGUGCAUCACGUGUGAUGUUUUGUAUGUACUCUGCGAAUAAGGAUCGGCUAACUCCGUGCCAGCCGCCGC